Molecule: ribosomal RNA, 468 nt
Filed under: uncultured bacterium
Lineage: Bacteria
Description: partial 16S ribosomal RNA
Rfam family: Bacterial small subunit ribosomal RNA
Source: RNAcentral
GACGAACGCUGGCGGCGUGCUUAACACAUGCAAGUCGAACGGAAAGGCACUGCUUUUGUGGGGUGCUCGAGUGGCGAACGGGUGAGUAACACGUGAGUAACCUGCCCUUGACUUUGGGAUAACUUCAGGAAACUGGGGCUAAUACCGGAUAGGAGCUCCUGCUGGAUGGUGGGGGUUGGAAAGUUUCGGCGGUUGGGGAUGGACUCGCGGCUUAUCAGCUUGUUGGUGGGGUAGUGGCUUACCAAGGCUUUGACGGGUACCCGGCAUGAGAGGGUGACCGGCCACCUUGGGACUGAGAUACGGACCAGACUCCUAUGGGAGGCAGCAGGGGGGAAUAUUGCACAAUGGGCGGAAGCCUGAUGAAGAAACGCCGCGUGCGGGAUGACGGCCUUCGGGUUGUAAACCGCUUUCGCCUGUGACGCAGCGUGAGUGACGGUAAUGGGUAAAGAAGCACCGGCUAACUACGUG